CAAGGCUAAAUACUCCUGACUGACCGAUAGUGAACCAGUACCGUGAGGGAAAGGCGAAAAGAACCCCGGCGAGGGGAGUGAAAAAGAACCUGAAACCGUGUACGUACAAGCAGUGGGAGCACCUUCGGGUGUGACUGCGUACCUUUUGUAUAAUGGGUCAGCGACUUAUAUUCUGUAGCAAGGUUAACCGUAUAGGGGAGCCGCAGGGAAACCGAGUCUUAACUGGGCGUUAAGUUGCAGGGUAUAGACCCGAA
RNAcentral lists this ribosomal RNA (254 nucleotides) under Enterobacter bugandensis. Its description in RNAcentral is "partial 23S ribosomal RNA". It matches the Rfam family "Bacterial large subunit ribosomal RNA", at positions 461 to 719 of the family's 2925-position model. Lineage: Bacteria; Pseudomonadati; Pseudomonadota; Gammaproteobacteria; Enterobacterales; Enterobacteriaceae. RNAcentral also lists the same sequence under 2 other names. The record is from RNAcentral.